GCCGAGGUGGCGAAAUGGAAGACGCAUGGGACUUAAACUCCCAGGAGCAUUAAUGCUCGUGCCGGUUCGACUCCGGUCCUCGGCACCA
Molecule: transfer RNA, 88 nt
Filed under: Chloroflexota bacterium
Lineage: Bacteria; Bacillati; Chloroflexota
Description: tRNA-Leu
Rfam family: tRNA
About the family: Transfer RNA (tRNA) molecules are approximately 80 nucleotides in length. Their secondary structure includes four short double-helical elements and three loops (D, anti-codon, and T loops).
Source: RNAcentral